GAAUGGACACAGAACACAGUAAUUGUUUACAGAAAUGAGGAUUCUCCCUGCUCUGUCAUGGGGAAAAGAAAAUGACAGCAAAGAGAAUCCUCAGUUCUGUAAACAAACUCAGUCUCCAAUUC
RNAcentral lists this microRNA precursor (122 nucleotides) under Callithrix jacchus (white-tufted-ear marmoset). Its description in RNAcentral is "microRNA cja-mir-9923 precursor". The record is from miRBase by way of RNAcentral. Lineage: Eukaryota; Metazoa; Chordata; Mammalia; Primates; Cebidae.